RNAcentral lists this unclassified non-coding RNA (21 nucleotides) under Mus musculus (house mouse). RNAcentral describes it as "oocyte_clustered_small_RNA11216". Lineage: Eukaryota; Metazoa; Chordata; Mammalia; Rodentia; Muridae. The record is from RNAcentral.
UGGUUACCAUGUAAGAGCAGU